This 849-nucleotide ribosomal RNA is filed under the name Paramyrothecium sp. Its description in RNAcentral is "partial large subunit ribosomal RNA". It matches the Rfam family "Eukaryotic large subunit ribosomal RNA", at positions 554 to 1410 of the family's 3401-position model. Lineage: Eukaryota; Fungi; Ascomycota; Sordariomycetes; Hypocreales; Stachybotryaceae. The record is from RNAcentral.
CUCCUCCGGGAGUGUUAUAGCCCGUUGCGUAAUACCCUGCGGUGGACUGAGGUCCGCGCUUCUGCAAGGAUGCUGGCGUAAUGGUCAUCAACGACCCGUCUUGAAACACGGACCAAAGAGUCGUCUUCGUAUGCGAGUGUUCGGGUGUAAAACCCCUACGCGUAAUGAAAGUGAACGCAGGUGAGAGCUUCGGCGCAUCAUCGACCGAUCCUGAUGUUCUCGGAUGGAUUUGAGUAAGAGCAUACGGGGCCGGACCCGAAAGAAGGUGAACUAUGCCUGUAUAGGGUGAAGCCAGAGGAAACUCUGGUGGAGGCUCGCAGCGGUUCUGACGUGCAAAUCGAUCGUCAAAUAUGGGCAUGGGGGCGAAAGACUAAUCGAACCUUCUAGUAGCUGGUUUCCGCCGAAGUUUCCCUCAGGAUAGCAGUGUUGAACUCAGUUUUAUGAGGUAAAGCGAAUGAUUAGGGACUCGGGGGCGCUAUUUAGCCUUCAUCCAUUCUCAAACUUUAAAUAUGUAAGAAGCCCUUGUUACUUAAUUGAACGUGGGCAUUCGAAUGUAUCAACACUAGUGGGCCAUUUUUGGUAAGCAGAACUGGCGAUGCGGGAUGAACCGAACGCGAGGUUAAGGUGCCGGAGUAGACGCUCAUCAGACACCACAAAAGGUGUUAGUACAUCUUGACAGCAGGACGGUGGCCAUGGAAGUCGGAAUCCGCUAAGGACUGUGUAACAACUCACCUGCCGAAUGUACUAGCCCUGAAAAUGGAUGGCGCUCAAGCGUCUCACCCAUACCUCGCCCUCAGGGUAGAAACGAUGCCCUGAGGAGUAGGCGGACGUGGAGGUCGUGACGAAGCC